GCAGGUGUGGCUCAGUUGGUAGAGUAUUUGCCUGAUAUUCAAGAAGCCCUGGGUUCAAUCCCUAGGCUUCCA
This 72-nucleotide transfer RNA is filed under the name Neotoma lepida (desert woodrat). It matches the Rfam family "tRNA". Rfam says of the family: Transfer RNA (tRNA) molecules are approximately 80 nucleotides in length. Their secondary structure includes four short double-helical elements and three loops (D, anti-codon, and T loops). Further hydrogen bonds mediate the characteristic L-shaped molecular structure. tRNAs have two regions of fundamental functional importance: the anti-codon, which is responsible for specific mRNA codon recognition, and the 3' end, to which the tRNAs corresponding amino acid is attached (by aminoacyl-tRNA synthetases). tRNAs cope with the degeneracy of the genetic code in two manners: having more than one tRNA (with a specific anti-codon) for a particular amino acid; and 'wobble' base-pairing, i.e. permitting non-standard base-pairing at the 3rd anti-codon position. Lineage: Eukaryota; Metazoa; Chordata; Mammalia; Rodentia; Cricetidae. The record is from Rfam by way of RNAcentral.